GUGGGGAAUAUUGGACAAUGGGGGGAACCCUGAUCCAGCCAUGCCGCGUGUGUGAAGAAGGCCUUUUGGUUGUAAAGCACUUUAAGCGAGGAGGAGGCUACCGAGAUUAAUACUCUUGGAUAGUGGACGUUACUCGCAGAAUAAGCACCGGCUAACUCUGUGCCAGCAGCCGCGGUAAUACAGAGGGUGCAAGCGUUAAUCGGAUUUACUGGGCGUAAAGCGCGCGUAGGUGGCCAAUUAAGUCAAAUGUGAAAUCCCCGAGCUUAACUUGGGAAUUGCAUUCGAUACUGGUUGGUUAGAGUAUGGGAGAGGAUGGUAGAAUUCCAGGUGUAGCGGUGAAAUGCGUAGAGAUCUGGAGGAAUACCGAUGGCGAAGGCAGCCAUCUGGCCUAAUACUGACACUGAGGUGCGAAAGCAUGGGGAGCAAACAGGAUUAGAAACCCCGGUAGUCC
Molecule: ribosomal RNA, 451 nt
Filed under: uncultured bacterium
Lineage: Bacteria
Description: partial 16S ribosomal RNA
Rfam family: Bacterial small subunit ribosomal RNA
Source: RNAcentral